RNAcentral lists this ribosomal RNA (477 nucleotides) under Triticum aestivum (bread wheat). Its description in RNAcentral is "partial small subunit ribosomal RNA". The record is from RNAcentral. Lineage: Eukaryota; Viridiplantae; Streptophyta; Magnoliopsida; Poales; Poaceae.
AUGUGCCGUAUGUGUCUGCAAAGAACUAUCAACCAUAUCCUACACCUCUCCCACCUUGACCACACAAUCUGCCUCACAAUGUCUUCUUUCUCCUUGCGAACGCCGCAAGAAAGCGGUGCCAAAAUCAACCGGGAGCUCUACCAGAAGUUCACCAACGUGGUGUCCUCCUUGCCCUGCUCCCCGGCUCUCACCAGGCACCCGCUCUACCGCCAUGACAGUGGCUGGUAUGCCCCUCUAGCGCCAAUGGUCUCCACAAUGGUUGCGGACGCAUGCUUCUCGGCGCAUCCCUGGGACAUCGUCAUUGCCACAAUGCCGAAGUCCUGCACAACGUGGAUAAAAGCAAUGCUUUACUCCAUGGUGCACAGAAGGGAGCACCCCACAGAUCGGGGACUGGGAGAACUAUCUGUCGCCAGAGACGGCAAGGACGAUCAACGCAUUACCGAGGCCGGGUUCAAGGGUUCUGGCCUCCGUGUGUAG